UCCAACAUGAGGCACAUUCUGAAGGAAGCGUGAUGAGCAAAAUUCCGGUCCGAGGAACACGAAGCGUAUAAGGCAUUCGAAGUGGGAUGAGUCUGCUAAACGAGACAAAAUCCAAUAAACUGCACAGACACGGGGAUGUAAAUACGGAGGGUAUAUGGGAUGAAAGUUACGUGU
Non-coding RNA from Desulfosporosinus orientis DSM 765, 174 nucleotides. NCBI's taxonomy places the organism in Bacteria, Bacillati, Bacillota, Clostridia, Eubacteriales, Desulfitobacteriaceae. The record is from Rfam.